GUGAUUAAAAUAGUCAUGCCGUAGACAGUAGGAGCGUGUACGCUUAAAUAUCCUACCGAGGUGAGCAAAUAGAUCUCUUGUAAUUUAGAGUGAAUUGCCCUCGUGUGUCGAACGCGAGGGCUUUCUAUAUGAGCCG
This is a regulatory RNA element of 136 nucleotides. It matches the Rfam family "Ribosomal protein L10 leader". From Rfam's summary of the family: This family is a putative r-protein leader autoregulatory structure found in B. subtilis and other low-GC Gram-positive bacteria. It is located in the 5' untranslated regions of mRNAs encoding ribosomal proteins L10 and L12 (rplJ-rplL). The record is from Rfam.